AGAGUUUGAUCCUGGCUCAGGACGAACGCUGGCGGCGUGCUUAACACAUGCAAGUCGAACGGAGCACCCUUGAAAGAGAUUUCGGUCAAUGGAUAGGAAUGCUUAGUGGCGGACGGGUGAGUAACGCGUGAGGAACCUGCCUUUCAGAGGGGGACAACAGCUGGAAACGGCUGCUAAUACCGCAUAACACAUAGGUGUCGCAUGGCAUUUAUGUCAAAGAUUUAUCGCUGAGAGAUGGCCUCGCGUCUGAUUAGCUAGUUGGUAGGGUAACGGCCUACCAAGGCGACGAUCAGUAGCCGGACUGAGAGGUUGGCCGGCCACAUUGGGACUGAGAUACGGCCCAGACUCCUACGGGAGGCAGCAGUGGGGAAUAUUGGGCAAUGGGCGCAAGCCUGACCCAGCAACGCCGCGUGAAGGAAGAAGGCUUUCGGGUUGUAAACUUCUUUUAAGAGGGAAGAGUAGAAGACGGUACCUCUUGAAUAAGCCACGGCUAACUACGUGCCAGCAGCCGCGGUAAUACGUAGGUGGCAAGCGUUGUCCGGAUUUACUGGGUGUAAAGGGCGUGUAGCCGGGCCGGCAAGUCAGAUGUGAAAUCCCAAGGCUCAACCUUGGAACUGCAUUUG
RNAcentral lists this ribosomal RNA (623 nucleotides) under uncultured bacterium. Its description in RNAcentral is "bacterial SSU rRNA". It matches the Rfam family "Bacterial small subunit ribosomal RNA", at positions 8 to 629 of the family's 1533-position model. The record is from RNAcentral.